GAAGGUGAACGAGUCCGACGAUUUGCAGAACUCGAUCAGGCUAACGAGAGACAACAUCAAGGCCAUCAUCAUGGUAAGAAAUCAACGCGGUUUUAACUUGAUCACCUCUCGCUAUCGAGGAAACCUAAUCUUGCUCGGUUCACCAGGCGAUGUGUCGUGAAAGAAAAAAGAAAAAAACAAAGAAAAACACGGUUUCCAUAAAUGGUGUGGGGGGGGACGGAAACCGACAUGCACCUGUCGAGCUUCCUACACCGUUCUUUUAUAAUCAGAACAGGACUUAAUUUGGACGUGUCGCUAGAUGUUUCGCGUAUAUAUUCGGGACGUUAGGGUUUCCAUCACAUUAAGUAAGUAUAUGCGAGUUAUUAUCAGUUAUUAUUUUCUUUUUGCGCUAGCGAAAUAAAAAGUGUAUUUUCGUUUUCCUUUAUGGAGGGUGGAGAUUUAGGUACUGAUAUAAUAUGCUAUACUCACCGUUCUUGGCGUAGAAAAUUAGGUAUAACUGAGCAAUAAUUGAAAUUGGUUUGAGAAGUUUAUACACAAAAAAGUGGGAUUUACUUUUUUCAUUAAUGGUGGGUCGAUAGUAGUGUACGAUUAAUCGCCCGUAUCUGGACGCCAUCUCUCUUUUGCGAAUUACACGUGCAUGCAUAAUUUAUUUGGAGUUGUUAGGAAGACAUUCCACUUGACAAUUCGUGCAGCCUAGCUUUUGUUCUUCGGCUGCAGAUCUUCCACGUCAUAAACUUCUCAAAAAUUUCAAAAUUCAUCAACGAGUGUUCAUGGUAGAUGUCCUUUAAUUCUUUAUCUGUUCUACUUGUGUUUCGUUUAGGACGUGAUGUUCGGCGGGACGGAGACCGUGGCGUCAGCUAUCGAGUGGGCCAUGGCGGAGCUCAUGCGAAGCCCCGAGGACCUGAAGAAGGUCCAGCAAGAACUCGCGGAUGUCGUGGGCUUAGACCGGAGAGUCGAGGAGAGCGACUUCGAGAAGCUGACCUAUCUCAAGUGCUGUCUCAAAGAGACCCUCCGCCUCCACCCGCCGAUCCCGCUGCUCCUCCACGAGACGGCAGAGGACGCCGUGAUCUCCGGCUACCGCAUCCCCGCACGGUCCCGGGUCAUGAUCAAUGCAUGGGCCAUCGGGCGUGACCCCGGCUCGUGGACCGAACCUGACAAGUUCAAACCGUCCCGGUUCCUGGAGCCAGGCAUGCCCGACUACAAGGGGAGCAAC
This 1213-nucleotide long non-coding RNA is filed under the name Eucalyptus grandis. RNAcentral's name for it is "long non-coding RNA (EGRA_LNC006067)". Lineage: Eukaryota; Viridiplantae; Streptophyta; Magnoliopsida; Myrtales; Myrtaceae. The record is from RNAcentral.